CACACUUCUCGCCACGCUCCAAUCCGCGGCUACCACGGGUAGGCGGAAUCAGUGACUAGUCUACGUUUUGGGAAGACGUACUUAAAGAGCUUGCUCUUAAAGUAGCAGUUGAGCACGGUAGACGUUCUGUUCCUUUCUCUCUAUAUAUCUGGGACGCCUUGUAUAGGGAGGAUGGGACAGAAGUUAGAUAAACCCAGUAAGGGUUGGUUAGCAUGUGAUCUAGUGGAAGACAGAGAAGGAGAAGAGAUGGUUAAGAAAGUGAGGAAGAUUGCUAAAGUAUGUGGAAUUACCGUACCUCCGUGCGGCAGAUUGUAGCCAGAGAGCUGGCGUAAGUUACUGACAGAGAAGAAAGGGAAGCUGUCGGACCAAGAUUUGGUUCGUACAGCAGAAGCCUGAUACCGAGUAGCAAGAGC
Molecule: non-coding RNA, 413 nt
Organism: Pelobates cultripes (western spadefoot toad)
Lineage: Eukaryota; Metazoa; Chordata; Amphibia; Anura; Pelobatidae
Source: the annotation of a GenBank genome assembly